RNAcentral lists this ribosomal RNA (568 nucleotides) under uncultured fungus. Its description in RNAcentral is "eukaryotic LSU rRNA". The stretch from base 203 to 356 matches the Rfam family "5.8S ribosomal RNA". The record is from RNAcentral. Lineage: Eukaryota; Fungi.
GGAAGUAAAAGUCGUAACAAGGUCUCCGUUGGUGAACCAGCGGAGGGAUCAUUACCGAGUUUACAACUCCCAAACCCCUGUGAACAUACCACUUGUUGCCUCGGCGGAUCAGCCCGCUCCCGGUAAAACGGGACGGCCCGCCAGAGGACCCCUAAACUCUGUUUCUAUAUGUAACUUCUGAGUAAAACCAUAAAUAAAUCAAAACUUUCAACAACGGAUCUCUUGGUUCUGGCAUCGAUGAAGAACGCAGCAAAAUGCGAUAAGUAAUGUGAAUUGCAGAAUUCAGUGAAUCAUCGAAUCUUUGAACGCACAUUGCGCCCGCCAGUAUUCUGGCGGGCAUGCCUGUUCUCGCGUCAUUUCAACCCUCAAGCACAGCUUGGUGUUGGGACUCGCGUUAAUUCGCGUUCCCCAAAUUGAUUGGCGGUCACGUCGAGCUUCCAUAGCGUAGUAGUAAAACCCUCGUUACUGGUAAUCGUCGCGGCCACGCCGUUAAACCCCAACUUCUGAAUGUUGACCUCGGAUCAGGUAGGAAUACCCGCUGAACUUAAGCAUAUCAAUAAGCGGAGGA